CUGGCACUGUCCCUCCAUUCAGUGUUGCACCAUGUUUGUGCAGUAUGCCACAAAAUAAGAGUCCCUGGCCACCCACGGUCCGGCCCCUUCUGUAUGUGUAGCUAAGGCAGAGAUUACACACUUCCUUGUUGUCAUACCCAUUCAUACCGUCAGUUGGAGCUCUGACAGGUUAAAAGCAGACAGCUGACACACUCAGCCAAUCACAGCUGCCCAUUGCCUCUCAGGGUAAUAC
Molecule: long non-coding RNA, 232 nt
Filed under: Pelobates cultripes (western spadefoot toad)
Lineage: Eukaryota; Metazoa; Chordata; Amphibia; Anura; Pelobatidae
Source: RNAcentral